Triticum aestivum (bread wheat) is the source of this 115-nucleotide non-coding RNA. Lineage: Eukaryota; Viridiplantae; Streptophyta; Magnoliopsida; Poales; Poaceae. The record is from Rfam.
AUAAUACUCCCUCCAUCCGGAAUUACUUGUCAUCAAAAUGGAUGUGUCUAGAACUAAAAUACAUCUAGAUACAUCCAUUUCAAUGACAAGUAUUUUCAGACGGAGGGAGUAGUAG